This 1592-nucleotide ribosomal RNA is filed under the name Syrrhaptes paradoxus (Pallas's sandgrouse). RNAcentral describes it as "16S ribosomal RNA". It matches the Rfam family "Bacterial large subunit ribosomal RNA". The record is from RNAcentral. Lineage: Eukaryota; Metazoa; Chordata; Aves; Pterocliformes; Pteroclidae.
AGCCUAAUCCUAGCUCGAUUACUCUCAUGACAAGACAACUAAAAACUUACUACAUCCAUAAACCAAAACAUUUCCUUAAGCCCAGUAUAGGUGAUAGAAAAGUAUUACAUUCGACGCGAUAGAAGCAUGUACCGUAAGGGAAAGAUGAAAUAACAGUGAAAAACAAAGCUAGAAAUAGCAAAGAUUAACCCUUGUACCUCUUGCAUCAUGAUUUAGUAAGAACAACCGAGCAAAAUGAAUUUUAGUUCGCCGCCCCGAAACCCAAGCGAGCUACUUGUAAGCAGCUAUUUCCUUGAGCAAACCCGUCUCUGUUGCAAAAGAGUGGGAUGACUUACUGGUAGAGGUGAAAAGCCAAUCGAGCUGGGUGAUAGCUGGUUGCCUGUGAGACGAAUCUAAGUUCUACCUUAAUUUUCUCCGUACGGCCACUCAUAACAACCCCCAAUGUAGCAAAUUAAGAGUAAUUUAAAGGAGGUACAGCCCCUUUAAAAAAGGACACACCCUCCACUAGUGGAUAAGUACCCACUUUACUCCCUGUAGGCCUUUAAGCAGCCACCAGCAAAGAAUGCGUCAAAGCUCACCGUAAAAAAAUAUAAAAACAGUACAACUCCCUCCACCACUAACAGGCUAAGCUAUGACAAUAGAAGAAUUAAUGCUAAAAUGAGUAACUAGGGAAUCCCUCUUAAGCGCAAACUUACAUCUCUAAAAUUAUUAACAAACUAACCAAAUACUUCAAUUAUACCAAGACUUAAGUAUUAACCUACCUUGUUAACCCAACCUAGGAGCGCCUAUUAGAAAGAUUAACAUCUGUAAAAGGAACUAGGCAAACCCAAGGCCCGACUGUUUACCAAAAACAUAGCCUUCAGCAGACCAAGUAUUGAAGGUGAUGCCUGCCCAGUGACAUCAUGUUUAACGGCCGCGGUAUCCUAACCGUGCGAAGGUAGCGCAAUCAAUUGUCCCAUAAAUCGAGACAUGUAUGAAUGGCUAAACGAGGUCUUAACUGUCUCUUACAGAUAAUCAGUGAAAUUGAUCCCCCUGUGCAAAAGCAGGAAUAAAUACACAAGACGAGAAGACCCUGUGGAACUUAAAAAUCAACGACCACUAUACAAAACCUAACCCCUAAAAGGCUUAUCCUACUCUAACCGCUGGUCCGUAUUUUUCGGUUGGGGCGACCUUGGAGAAAAACAAAUCCUCCAAAAAUAAGACCUCCACCUCUUAACUAAGAACAACCUCUCAACGUACUAAUAGUAACCAGACCCAAUACAAUUGACCAAUGAACCAAGCUACCCCAGGGAUAACAGCGCAAUCCCCUCCAAGAGCCCCUAUCGACGAGGGGGUUUACGACCUCGAUGUUGGAUCAGGACAUCCUAAUGGUGCAGCCGCUAUUAAGGGUUCGUUUGUUCAACGAUUAAUAGUCCUACGUGAUCUGAGUUCAGACCGGAGCAAUCCAGGUCGGUUUCUAUCUGUGAUGAACUUAUCCUAGUACGAAAGGACCGGAAAAGUGGGGCCCAUGCUCCAAGCACGCCCUAUUCACAAGCAAUGAGCCCAACUAAAUUGCUAAAACAUUCACCCAAACACAUCCUAGAAAAGGAUAA